Molecule: ribosomal RNA, 253 nt
Filed under: uncultured Coxiella sp.
Lineage: Bacteria; Pseudomonadati; Pseudomonadota; Gammaproteobacteria; Legionellales; Coxiellaceae
Description: partial 16S ribosomal RNA
Rfam family: Bacterial small subunit ribosomal RNA
Source: RNAcentral
UACAGAGAGUGCAAGCGUUAAUCGGAAUUACUGGGCGUAAAGCGCACGUAGGUGGACACUUAAGUCGGAUGUGAAAUCCCCGGGCUUAACCUGGGAACUGCAUCCGAUACUGGGUGUCUAGAGUAUGGUAGAGGGAAGUGGAAUUUCCGGUGUAGCGGUGAAAUGCGUAGAUAUCGGAAAGAACACCAGUGGCGAAAGCGGCUUCCUGGACUAAUACUGACACUAAGGUGCGAAAGCGUGGGGAGCAAACAGG